Molecule: ribosomal RNA, 359 nt
Filed under: uncultured Spiroplasma sp.
Lineage: Bacteria; Bacillati; Mycoplasmatota; Mollicutes; Entomoplasmatales; Spiroplasmataceae
Description: bacterial SSU rRNA
Rfam family: Bacterial small subunit ribosomal RNA
Source: RNAcentral
ACAGGUGGUGCAUGGUUGUCGUCAGUUCGUGUCGUGAGAUGUUUGGUUAAGUUCAGCAACGUCUCUCAGUGCGUGUCCUUAGUUGCCAGCAUUAAGUUGGGGACUCUAAGGAGACUGCUAGUGUAAGCUAGAGGAAGGUGGGGACGACGUCAAAUCAUCAUGCCCCUUAUGACUUGGGCUACACACGUGCUACAAUGGCUGAUACAAAGAGUCGCUAAACCGCGAGGUCAAGCAAAUCUCAAAAAGUAAGUCUCAGUCCGGAUUGAAGUCUGCAACUCGACUUCAUGAAGUCGGAAUCACUAGUUAUUUCGAAUCAACAAUGUCGCGGGGAAUACGUUCUCGGGUAUUGUACACACCGC